This is a long non-coding RNA of Lycium barbarum (goji berry), 558 nucleotides long. RefSeq lists it as uncharacterized. The record is from RefSeq and is a predicted model, not a curated record. The transcript is spliced from 2 exons. NCBI's taxonomy places the organism in Eukaryota, Viridiplantae, Streptophyta, Magnoliopsida, Solanales, Solanaceae.
CAGUCAUUUUCAGUAAAAUUUAGACUUAUUCCAUGAACACUGUUAUUUCAGAACCAAACAAAAAAAGGAGACUAUUAUUUCAAAACCAAACAAAUGUCUCAACAACCGACGAGGUAGGAGCUACAAGCAUAUCUCUAAACAAAGAAAAUUGUAUGGAGAAUUGAAACAAAGAAAAAUAAAGAGAAGAGAGAACGUACUGUACAUAGCAGUAAAUUUUCGGAUAUGGGUCAAGCUUUGAUGAAGGGGCCUGCAUCUCGCGAUGCAGGCAACGAUAUACAGGUUGACGACUCAGCUAUUUAGGAGUGCACGUAUCAGCUACUGGUGAGCCCCAAAUUCCUUCGGGACGUUGUCAGCUAUCUGGUUAAUUCAGUUUAUAGACAAUUUUAUUAUUCAGUACUCUUAGAGGCUUCAUAGACACAGUUCAGACAGUCAGAUAUUUGUUAUGUUAGCCUUGUAGACAGUUAUACUCAGUCGUUCAGUUGUUUUGGUUUAGCCAUGUUGGCUACUUUCAGAUAUAUUUCAGAUUGUCUAAGUAUUUCCGCAUUAUGAUUUCAGUCA